This 17134-nucleotide long non-coding RNA is filed under the name Podarcis lilfordi (Lilford's wall lizard). Lineage: Eukaryota; Metazoa; Chordata; Lepidosauria; Squamata; Lacertidae. The record is from RNAcentral.
CUCUGAGAUUGGAGGUAAUGUAGUCCUCAUGACUAGUGUAGCGUUUGUACGGAGCUCCCAGUCGUCUCAUGGACUAUUGACUCGUACACCACUCAUCUGCUGCCACCAACCAGGUCCUCCCCGGUAAAUCACUUAGUCUCAGUCAGGUUCUCAAGUUAACAAUGAAGAGUGUAGUUUAUUGCAAUCGCAAAUAAACUUUAAAUGCAUUUGAAACGCUGUUACCUUUUACCCUCUUAGUCUUAUUUUAUCCUGUUUCUAACUCUUCUACCUCCCCUCACACAAGAACCAACUGCACUAACUGUCUCUCUGUUUCCAACGGUCUGCCAACUGCUUUCCCAACUGCCUUUCCCAACCAACCAACCAACCAACCAACCAACCAACCAACUAAAACCAACCAACCCAAACCUCGGGCUAAGCCCUUUUAUAAACAGGUAGGCUCCGCCUCUGGCUUUUCUAUUGAUCUACCUAUUAACUCUUUCUCUCCCCCUGUACAGAUAUUUCCAAAAGAACGGGCAAACGCCACAACUAGUAGCUACUGAUAGACUUAACCUCCAUGUGUUUGUCUCAUCCUCCUUUAAGGCCAUCACUACAUAUUGUGGCAAAUCCCUUAGUUUAGGGAUCCCGUGAGAUGAAGUACUUCUUUUUGUCUGCCCUGAAUCCAUCUGAAUCCAUCUGGGACCACGCUGGCUGGGAACAUAGGAACAGCACAGGAACCUGCCAUAUACUGGAUCAGACCAUUGGUCCAUCCAGUUCGGCACACCCAGUGGUGACUAGAAGCAACUCUCCUGCAUUUCAGGCAGGGGGACAUUCCCAACCCUAUUUGGAAAGGCCGGGAAUUGAACCAAAGACCAGUCCGGCAGUUCCUUCUGCCAUAUAAAAGCGCAGGCUUACCUUGAACCCAAAUACAUAAUCCAGACCAGCUUCCCCAUAGUGAUAUAACAGCAGCCUUUAAGCCACUGUGGGGAAAAGAGGUGGGUUGUCAGACUUCGGGGAAUCGGCUCUCCCGCCCCCCCUUGCUUACAAAUCGUUUAGCCUUUCCAAAUGCUCCACUGUAUAUUUCCUUCUAGUCUGUGGGGAACGAAAAUGAUUACAUGUUUAAUCAGCGCAUGGCACCCCACAACGUGAUUAGAUUUCCCUUUGCUAAUUUUUCAGCGGAGGCUUAAUAGCCGCUUGUGAUAACGAGAGCUCCUAUUAACAGCGUUUUCGUGGGUUCCUAUAUAAUAAGCCACAGUACUGAAAUUAAAACCCAGCUACACUUACAAUUAUUGCUGGAGAUGCAUUUUGUUCCCUUUUUAAAGAUAAAUCAAUCAAUCCAAGGACAUUUUCACAAUGAUGCUAAGAAUAUUUUUAAAAAUCUGGAAUGUGUUACUCAUAUAUCCAUAUAUAAUGUUUGAAAACUACGCUGUGGACAAAGCUGGGUUCCAGUAAGUGUGACAUUCUUAUAAUAUGGCAGACCUGGUUUCAGGCAGUUGGAUUUCAGCAAUUCUAGUCCAGCCAAGACAGAACUCAAUGAGGUCAUAAGAACAUAAGAAAGGCUCAGACCAAAGGCCCACCUAGUCUAGCAUCCUCUUCUCACAGUGGCCAACCAGUUGUCUGGUUCCUCGGGAAGAGGAAUUGGCUGUUAAAGCCCUAAACGGCCUCGGCCCAGUAUACCGUAUUUUUCGCUCCAUAAGACGCACUUUUUUCCUCCUAAAAAGUAAGGGGAAAUGUGAGUGUGUCUUAUGGAGUGAAUGGCGCUGCGCAGAGAGGGAGAGCUGCGCAGUGCCCCUUCAGCGAAGCACCUCUCCUGGCUUGUGCCUUAGCCGCAUGCAGCCUCUUCGGGCAGGGGGAGCUGCGCAGUGAUCCCGCUUGCUGUUCUGGCUUCUGAGAUUCAGAUUAUUUUUUUUCUUGUUUUCCUCCUCCCAAAACUAGGUGCACCUUAUGGUCUGGUGCGUCUUAUGGAGCGAAAAAUACGGUACCUGAAGGAGCAUCUCCACCCCCAUCGUUCAGCCCAGACACUGAGGUCCAGCUCUGAGGGGCUUCUGGUGGUUCCCUCACUGCGAGAAGCCAAGUUACAGGGAACCAGGCAGAGGGCCUUCUCGGUAGUGGCACACACCCUGUGGAACACCCUCCCACCAGAUGUCAAGGAAAUAAACAACUAUCCGACUUUUAGAAGACAUCUGAAGGCAGUCCUGUUUAGGGAAGUUUUUAAUGUUUGAUGUUUUAUCGUGUUUUUAAUAUUCUGUUGGGAGCCGCCCAGAGUGGCUCCGGAAACCCAGCCAGAUGGGUGGGGUAUGAAUGAAUGAAUAAAAUAAAAUAAAAAUAAUAAAGUAAUAAUUUUAAGCCACUCUGGGAAUUGUAGCCCUGUUAGGUGAAUAGGGGUCUCCUAACAACUCGUGGCACCCAUAACAAGCUGCACUUUCCAGGAUUCUAUGGGAUUUACUUAAAGUGGGAUAAUACUGCUUUAAAUAUACGAUGCAGAUGGAGCCGCAGUGUGGAGGGGCUCUUAAUGAUGGCCUUAAUACUGGACUUAAUGGUAUAAAGCCCUCUGCCUUUUCAUAAAGUGCAUUUCUUCACAUCAAAGUGUGGUGAGCUACCCCUGUUGGGUUUGUAGGCUCUCCCACUCAGCCUAACCUAAGGGCACCACUGCCUAUAGGUAUAACAUGGGGAAAUGUUUGGGCUCCAGCCCUUGGGAGAGAGUGGGAACAAAACGUAACUGAAACAAAGAUGGCCUGGACACAUCGAUUCCAGACGCUCCAAGUGUCCCUGUUUUCCAGGGACAGUCCCGGAUUUACAGAAACCAUCCUGGUUUCUGAUGUGACCCCUGAAUGUCCUGCUUUUCCUUAGGACGUCCCUAUUUUCACUGGAGAAAUGUUGGAGGGUGUUAAGUUAUGUGACCCCUGAGCCUUUGGAAGACACCUGAAGGCAGCUCUGUAUAGGGAAGUAUUUAAUGUUUAAUGUUUUGUUAUGUUUUUACAUAUGCUGGAAUCUGCCCAGAGUGGCUGGGGCAACCCAGUCAGAUGGGCAGGGUAUAAAUAAAAUAAAAUAAAAAUAAAUUAAAAAAUAGGGUGUCCCUAUUUUCAUUGGAUAAAUGUUGGAGGGUACGUGAUUUGGAUCUCAGAUCACUAGAGUGGCACAGUUUUGGCACAUGUGUGCAUUUGAUAUGGUAAUACACCCCCCACUCUCAAUGCCUAAAAAUCUGCUUUAUUCACUGUUGCCAAACACAAUCCAGAGCUCUGGCAGAAACAGAGUUUUCUAAAUUGCUUGUGCAAUACCUAAAUUAAAAAACAAACAAACCCGAACCAAAGAGUGGGAUGUGGGUGGGGGUGGGGGGCUUGAUCAGUUCAGGCGGGUAUAAAAAUGCCUCGUUCUUCACGUGGCUGAAGUCUCAUCGUUAUUAAAGCUCUCCCAGCAAUAACAGAACAUGAUGAGAGCAACUCAGGUAAAUAAAAAUCGCGGGAAUUUCCCCAGGGGAAAGACUUCAGCUGCGACAAGCUCUCCAGAAGCUGCUUUUGUAAUUCUUGCAGCAUUUUUUGAGUUUGCAAGGUGCCAGGUAUUGUUUCCUUUUAUUUGAAAAAAUAAAAUGCUGUCAGUACAUAGGAAGUUGCUGCCGGGUUGCCAAUUGGCCAGAAAAAAAACAGCCUCUACUCCUUUUCCUCUAAUGGAAGUUUGAUACGCAGAAGUCAGCAAGAGAUGCUGUUCAUGGCAUGGGUGGUUUCUUGUUGUAGGUGCCGUUUUGUUUCCUCCCUUCUUGUUUUUCUUUUUCUUUUGUUUCAAGAAAUCUGCUGGACCAAAUCAGACAAAUGAUUGCUAUAGCUCAGUACUAUCUCCAGUCAGGGAUGUAAGGCGGCAAGCAGUUUCUUUUUCUGACUUGUAUUCCUCACAUUCAGCUCACUGCUAAUGAAUGUAUGUUACAAUGCAAAUGAAACAUCAGAACAAUGUAAAAAUGUUAUUAAGUGCGUAGUCUUUGCAGACUUAAAAAUGACAACAAUGUAAACAAAUAAUGAUGAUGAUGAUGAUAAUGAUAAUAAUAAUAAUAAUAAUAAUAAUAAUAAUAAUAAUAAUUUAUUAUUUGUACCCCGCCCAUCUGGCUGGGUUUCCCCAGCCACUCUGUGCGGCUUCCAACAAAGAUUAAAAAUACAUCAAAAUGUCACACAUUAAACACUUCCCUGAACAGGGCUGCCUUCAGAUGUCUUCUAAAUGUCAGGUAGUUGUUUAUCUCUUUGACAUCUGAUGGGAGAGCAUUCCACAGGGCGGGCGCCACUACCGAGAAGGCCCUCUGCCUGGUUCCCUGUAGCUUUGCUUCUUGCAGUGAGGGAACCGGCAGAAGGCCCUCGGUGCUGGACCUCAGUGUCCGGGCAGAAUGAUGGGGGAAGAGACGCUCCUUCAGGUAUACUGGGGAGGGAGCCGGUGUUUGUCCACAGAGAACUUUCUGGGUCAUGUGGCCAGCAUGACUAAACUGCUUUUGGUGAAAUGGAACACCAUGAUGGAAACCAGAGCGCACGGAAACGCUAUUUACCUUCCUGCCGGAGCGGUACCUAUUUAUCUACUUGCACUGGUGUGCUUUCGAACUGCUAGGUUGGCAGGAGCUGGGACUGAGCAAUGGGAGCUCACCCCGUCGUGGGGCUUUGAACCUCUGACUUUCCAAUUGGUAAGCCCAAGACACUCAGUGGUUUAGACCCCAGCGCCACCCCAUGGUCACCAGGCCUGGCUUGGUAUGCCUCCAACAAAUGAGGGGGCUGAGGAAGCAGAGCACAGCACUGUUCAAUGGCAGGCUCCUCCUGGGCACAAGAAAGGAAGCUGCACUGGGCUGGGCUCCCUGCUCAGCCCCCUCCUGAUAAUGCAACGCCGUGCCCAUGACGUCAUGCGUGUGCCAUAUGUUUGCCUCUGGUCUACACUGACUGGCAGCAGCUCUCAGGGGUUUCAAACAGAAGGCCUUCCCAGUCCAGUAUACCUGUCCAGUCCAGUAUUCCCAGUCCUACUCAGAGAUGCUGAGGAAUGAACCUAGGACUUUCUGCAUUUGACCAUCUUGAAUUUUUCAACUUUCAGAUUCCAACUUUCAGGUUCCAAAAACAAGGGGUACUAAAAAGUUGUAACGUGAUUUGGGAAUUCAAAAUAUAUUUUGGCUCAAUUAAUACAGUGGUACCUCGGGUUAAGUACUUAAUUUGUUCUAGAGGUCUGUUCUUAACCUGAAACUGUUCUUAACCUGAAGCACCACUUUAGCUAGUGGGGCUGCCUGCUGCCACUGCUCAAUUUCUCUCCUUAUCCUGAAGCAAAGUUCUUAACCUGAGGUAAUAUUUCUGGGUUAGUGGAGUCUGUAACCUGAAGCGUAUGUAACCUGAAGAGUAUGUAACCCGAGAUACCACUGUAUAAUUUAGUUUUGCUUGGUAAGUGAAAUGUGUGUAAAACUGCAUAGAAAUCAUUAACAACAAUUGCCAAGUUGAGUCGUCGUCGUCUUCUUCUUCUUCUUCUUCUUCUUCUUCUUCUUCUUCUUCUUCUUCUUCUUCCUCAGCAUUGACUGGCCAUUUUCAGAAGGAUUUUUUUUAAAAAAAUGGUUUUCCAAAAGCAGUUUAUGUGCUUCUUCAUCAAACGUAGCCUUACCAAACUAAAUGUUGUCCAAUCACAAAAAUAAUAGCAGAUUUUAAUUCCUUCCACCCAGAAACAUAUUUUUAAGACCUCUCACUGAAGAAAUGUACAAAAAAUAUGUUUUACCCCCUAAACGACACACCCUACUUCUGCAUGCAAAGCGGACCCCCCACAAUCGAGCUACAACUCUUUCGUUCUUCCCUCUCAUUACAAUUUCCUUUUCUGUAUAAGUUGCUCAGGGCUGCCAAGGGCUAGACAAAAUUGUUCUAGUGAUUGUAUAUAGUCCUUGGUCGGCUGGUUGGUGUGCCCUGAUUUAAAUUAUGCCUUGCAGUCUUAAGCAGAAGUUUUAUAACCCACCCCCUGCCCAAAUAAAUCCUUUCACCACUGCUUCACCCAAGCAGUUUUGAAAAUGUCAGGAAAGUUGAGAAAUAGCAAUGCAUUCUAGUUACUAGUUAUGCCAAGCAGAAUUAAGCGUUUCAGGGUUAUCUGCCAUGAAACACAACUGUAUGCUGACCUAACCAAGAUAAAUGAGACCCCCAAACCUCAUAUCGAAACUCUUAAUAUUCUGCCCUGCAGUGUUUCAAUAAGGUCUUUGCUGAUGAGACAUUUAAAUAAACGCUGAACAUGCUUCUCAAGAAAAAUAAUAACAAUGAUAGCUUAAAUUCUAUUAUGGGAGAAAGGAGAUUAACCAGAAUUUCUUGCCAUCUUCACGUAUUUGGGCUUGCAAGCUUAAAAGACCCAGGCAAGCAAGGGCACAGAGUCAGCCUCAGCGCUGAAUGCAUCCUGUCCACAACCUCGUGCAGUGGUACCUCUGGUUACAUACUUAAUUCGUUCCGGAGGUCCGUUCUUAACCUGAAACUGUUCUUAACCUGAAGCACCACUUUAGCUAAUGGGGCCUUCUGCUGCCACUGCGCCGCUGGAGCACGAUUUCUGUUCUCAUCCUGAAGCAAAGUUCUUAACCCGAGGUACUAUUUCUGGGUUAGCGGAGUCUGUAACCUGAAGCAUAUGUAACCUGAAGCGUAUGUAACCCGAGGUACCACUGUACUCCCAAACUAUGAACCUCCUUCCCUCAUCCACACACCUAAUUCCUGAACGCAGAAAACACCCAUCCACAGCACUGCCAUCUUAUCAGGAUUCAGCCUCAGGUUCCAAGUCCUCACCCAGCCCUUCACUGACCAUAAUAAAUCACACAGAGUAAAAGAAGUUAACUCUUUAUUAGAGGAAACAAGGUCUGCUCAGGAGUGGCAGGUCUCUUGAGUGUAGCAACUCUUCUCCAUAGGUCUGUCCCCUAUGUGGCUGUUGUGGAGACUGAAGGUCCCAGCCUUCCCACAGCUGCCUAAGUCUCCUCCUUCCCCGGGUCCUUCCCAAGCAAUCUGAGACUAUGCCAGCACAUCUACCUUUGCUCUUCCCACUUCAUACCUCACCUGGUUCUGGGAGACCAGCAGGGAGGGGAGUUUAUCGCAGCAGGAGUGGGAGACAACCCUGGCUUCUUCACCAGCCUGACUCAUCUUUGCUUCUUGGGCUCCCUCCUUUCAGCUUCCAACACCUCCUUCCUGCAGGCUUCUCUCUCUUCUCCUUCUGACUGCUCAGUGUCACCCCACUACCAUCCCCCAGGCUCUGAACCUUCUUCCCUUGGGGGUUCCCCAGCUGAUGCCUCUGUGUCCAGCCAUCCCCAGAAGAACUGCCUCCAGACCCUGGUCCAACACCUUCACAGCAUCUCCUGAUUCAGAAGGAAUGGAGAAAUAGAACCAUGUGUCAUCAGCAUACUGGUUGCCCCAUGCUCCAAACCCCUGAAUGAUGGCUCCUAGUGGUUCCAUAUAUAUGUUAAAUAGCAAAUGAGACAAAAUGGACCCUUGUGGGAACCCCACAGCCCCAAAGCCAUGCAGCUGAGCAACCAACUCCUUGAAUUACUUUCUGGUAGCAACCCUGUGGACAGGAGAAGAACCACUGUCAUACUUGUGGUGGCUAUAUGAGAAUGGGCCUUUUCUGUAGUGGCUCCCUGUUUGUGGAAUGCUCUCCCUAGGGAAGUUCAUCUGGUGCCUUCAUUGUCUAUCUUUAGCCACCAGGCAAAAACGUUCCUCUUCAACCAGGCCUUUGACUGAUUUAUGUCUUGUUAAAUGUGUUUGUGUCUGUGCUUAUGUGUGAUUAUUGGUUGUUUUUGUUUUCCUUAUAUACUUUGUGGUUUUGUUCUAUAUUUUUAUAUUGUGGACUGCCCUGAGAACUUCAAAUGAAGGCCAGUAUAGAAAUAAUAAUAAUAAUAAUAAUAAUAAUAAUAAUAAUAAUACAGUGGACGCUUGGGUUGUGAACGUGAUCUGUGCGGGAAGCACGUUUGCAACCCGCAGCGCCGUGUCUUGUAUUGUAUUUUGUUAUGAGCUGCCAUAGGCUGCUAUGGGAGAAUGGACAGUACAGUGGUACCUCAGGUUACAUACGCUUCAGGUUACAUAUGCUUCAGGUUACAGACUCCGCUAACUCAGAAAUAGUACCUCGGGUUUAAACCUUUGCUUCAGGAUGAGAACAGAAAUCGUGCUCCGUCGGUGCAGCGGAAGCAGGAGGCCCCAUUAGCUAAAGUGGUGCUUCGGGUUAAAAACAGUUUCAGGUUAAGAACGGACCUCUGGAACGAAUUAAGUACUUAACCCGAGGUACCACUGUAGAAUAGAAUAGAAUAGAAUAGAAUAGAAUAAUAUUUCCCCAGCACACACUGGAUGGAUGAAGACAAGGGUACCCCUGAACAUGUUAAAAAGGCUUUCUCCCCCCCAACCAUGGAUUCCCCCACAGCCAGCUACAUUACAUCUGGAGCCAAUGGGCAGGCUCAGCAUUUUCUCCUCAUAAAUCAGAUCUGCACAACUUGCGGCCUGCCAAGCUGAACGCAGACCAAGCCGCAGCUCAGCAGGCAGUUCCAUAAACCUCCUAUGGGCGAGGUUUGGUCCAGUGGGUCACAGAUUGUGUAGGGCAGUCAUAACCGAAGCAGCAGCUCAGAAAGACCACAUUAUAGCAAACCUUUACACUAUUCCUGAGUUCCCCCCGUCUCCCUCUCUCUUUUGAAUCACCUAUUCUGUUUUAAUAAGUAGCGAAAUUAAUUUAUAUUCUGACCUUGCAAUGGUUGUGAUCUGCAAUAUUUUCACUUUGUUCUGUUCUGCUUGGCGUACUGCUACCCUCCGUCCCCCAUUACUGCUGAGCUAAUCUGAUGGAUGUGCUGCAUAAUUCCAUUUAGCAUGUCCUUUCGGUCUCAAUUCUCUUUUCCCUUUGAAAUCCUAGACAUUUCAGUGAAUAUGAAAGCGUAGCUAUAUGUAGGGCAAACGGUGCCCUUUCAAGCCUUCUUUUGCUAGGAGCACACUGCUUCCUCUCAAAAGCAGACAGCUUUGCAGGGAGACAGAGGCGUAGAUCACCCGUUGUUGUUGGAUGAGGGCAGGGGGAGGGAGCUGCUAUUCAGCAAUUAACAUUUGUUUAAAUAUUUUGAAUUGAGCAAAAGCUGAAGACUAGAAACAUGAAUUUCCCUCACUACUUCGUCAAUCAAGACAAAGGGCUGCGUGCCAUCUUCCACAGUAGAAGGCUGUGCACACGCUAUGCCUUUAAAACACACUCCUCCCCUCAAAGCAUUCUGGGCACUGUAGUUUCUUAAGUGUUGCUGGGAAUUAUAACUCUGGGAGGGGUUGUGAUGUUAACAUAUGAGAGUGCUGGAGGUGAAAUAGUUAAACAGGUUACCCAAUCAGAACCCAGGGGGUGGAGUCAGAGGGACUAUAAAACCAGCUCCGGGAGGGGCGAAGGGAGGAGUUUGUUGGGUGGUUGGUUGGAGUGGGAAUGAAUUGGGAUAGAGCCUGUGGGUAGGUUGAGUUAGUGUAGCGAAAUAAGCUGAGUCAGGAACAGUUAGGGGCUAGGAAGACAAGUAAAUAUCUGAGAGGUGGUUUAGUGAGUGAGAGCAGGUAGAGGAAGUUAUAGGUCUGGAUAGGCACCCCAUGAUUGUAAUUGACCGAUACCGUUUAUGAAACCACACGCUUGUUAAACUGCAAUAAAUAAACAGAAGUUUAUGUUCCAAUUUAACCCUGACUGGACUCAGUAUUGUACCAGGUAGGGCCUGGGUGGUGGCAGCAAGAAAUAAAGUGGUGGCACAGGGAUCAAUAGACGGUGAAACGUCCAGGGACCCUGUGUGAUCGCCACAGGGAUAAACUACAGUGCCCAGAAGUCUGUGAGGCAAAGAACAUGCAAAUGUGCCAGUGUGGUAUAUAUGAACGACAUCUUGAGCUUCUUGGAGGAAAAGCUGGGAUAGAAAUGAAUAAAUAUACCCCCCCACUCAACCAAGGCCUGAAUCCACCCCCAUGGGCCCGAUGUGGCUCAUGUCUCUGGCCUUUGCCCGAUCCCGCACACAGCCCUAAAUUCUGCUGCUCUCCUCCGUAUACUAAAUUCAGAAGCCAAUUUGACUGAAGUCAGUGGGGUUUGCUUCCAAAUGUUCCAAAUGAAUCCCAUUGGUGGGGAAAGAUGAAUUAUUCCAGCCACUCAAGAACUGGGACAAGUCCCUUGAAACACGGCGUCUGGUGCCACUAGGAGAUGUAAGCUUAUUCCCCCCGCCCUUCCUAAAAUUCACUUCCCUAAGCCCUCGCUAUUCCUGCUUGUUGUAAGCAUUCGUUUUAUUCAUAAUUCAAGCAAAGUGUGUGGGUGGGGUGGGGGACGACGACACCCCUCCAAGAGUCUUAUCUGGAUGCAUUCCAUUUAUUAUGCAUUUGAGGAGUUUGCUUAAGAUGCUGAACACACAAAAGACUGAUAAAUGAGAACAUGUUGGGCUCGCUAAGAAAUGUAGCUAAUAAGGAGCAGAUUAGAUAAUCCAUUUCUUUCUGCGGCAGGGCAGCAACUCCUGCAACAGAUCCAGCUCUUCCAUCAUUUACUUCCAAGUAAGUCCCACAAAAAUCAGCGAGACUUACUUCUGAGUAAAGAAGCUUAUUCCUUUGAAAUUUUUUGUGUGUGUGUAUAUACACAUACACACACUGCUUAGGGAAGUUAAAUAGUUUUGAUGGAAACUGGAGCAAAAAUUUGCUUAUUUGCCCCAGCAUGGAAAGCCAUCUUGCAUUCGCUGUUUUUUUCUUUUCCAGUCUGCAGACAAUAUGUAAUUUAUGAGUCCCCCCCCCCCCCCAAUUUGCACUGUGUUUCCUUUCCAUUGAAAGGAAUAGGGUGGAAUAAUGUGGUAAUGUUACAGCAAAUGAUGUGAAAUUCUGCCACAGGCAAGGCUAAUAACAUAGUUUUUGCCGGAAACUGCAGCAGAAUGGAAACAGGGAGGAAGAAAGUAGGAAUGGAAAUGGAUGCCUAUUUACAUUUGUAAUAAUACUGAUUAUUUUAGCUGCUUUCAGUACCAUCAGCCAUUGUAUGCUUCUGGGUCACCUUGUCAGAAUAAAGCUUGGAGGCUCAGUCCUUUCAUAGAAUCAUAGAACUGUAGAAUUUGGAAGGGACACUGGGGGUCAUUUCAUCCAACCCUCUGCAAUCCAGGAAUUCUGCUCACAGCCAUCCUUGGGUGGACUCAAACCACCAAACAUCUGGUUAACAGCCAGACACACUGACCCAUUGCUGCACCGGGCAUUCCCAGAAGGCAGUGCUGGGAGUCACUUUCCCCGCCCUGUGGUUUUGGGCUUAGUCAAAUCACACCUCUUUGCAUUUUUCAGAUUUCUAAUUGGCCGCAGGGGCUUGUCCGGUCGAUAGGCACCUUCCAGACUGUCACCGUUUUCAAGUAGGGUUCAGUCACAUACCAACCAAUUUGGGUUGUGCAAUUACACUCGUUUGGGGACAUUGCCAUGAAGUGAAAAGUUUCCUGUUGUUUGUGCGGUUUGAGCAUAUUACAUAGAUACUGCCUCAACUGCACUGACUGCCAAUUAGUUUUGGGGUGUGCUGCUUUUGACUUAUAAAGCCUUAAACAGCCCAGAAGCGCAAUACCUCAAGGACUGCCUCUCCCAUAUGAACCGACCCAGACCCUGAGAUCUGUGGGAUGUGAAACACAAGAGCAGUCAAGUACAGCAUUCCUAGAGUGAACAUGUUUACACAUGGAGAGGAAUGUUUGUCCAGCCAGCAGGUAAACUUCCUGUUUCCUUCUGGGCUGGGACAGACUUCCUCUGCAUGUGACUAGGGGUGGGUGUGGCCUCACCUGUUCAGGUAACGACAAAAGCACAGGGCAGGGCAGCCAUCUCUCUCUCUUUGACUACAUGUGACAAAGAAGCGACAUCUGCUUAGUCAAAGAUGCUCUCUUGGCCUCCAGCCAAGAGAGGACAAAUGACCUGUCUCCUUAUGAGAUAGUUUCCAGGGGUAUGCUACUUUUCUAAGCUAAGUCUGCCUUCUAGGAUCCAACUGUAAACAGAAUGUGAGUAAACUCUUUUUAUACUUUUAUAGAAGACUGUGUUGUGUCUUAUCUUUUAUGAGCGAAUAAGGGGAAAAUACCAGAACAGUUAUUAUAGAGGCUUUAGCGAGCCUGAGCAAACGCAUCUGCUGUGAGUUUAAAAAGGGGAAUGUUACUCUGCUAAAUUAUGAGCUUGUUAACACAAGUUGGAAAGGCUAUAAUCAAACAAUAUAUCCUCUCCUGUAUCCCUGAACAUUCCCACAAGAUCAUCUUCUGAGGCCCUUCUUUGUGUGCCUCCUCCAUGAGAGGUCUGGAGCGUGGCAACACAAGUGUGAGCCUUCUCUGUAGUGGCGCCUUCAUCAUAUACUUUUAGGUGUCAGGUGAAAAUGUUCCUUUUCAACCCGGCCUUUGGCUGAUUAAUAGUCUACAGCCUUUUAAAUGUGCCUGUGGGAAGGGAGUUAUCGUUUUGCUCUUUCGUUUUGUUUAUUUACCUGUUUUUAUCCUGCAUUUUAUUCUGUGAACUGACCUGAGAUCUUCUGAUGAGGGGCGGUAUAGAAAUCUAAUAAAUAAAUCAAUAAUAAAUAAAUCAAACCGUAAGGGUAGGCCACAGAGCUCUGCAAGAGCCACUGAUAUCUGCGAGUCUGGUUUUGCCAUCAUGAGGCAUCUUUACCUGAUGCACACCUGAUGCCAGGUGUAGGGUGAGUGGGUGUGGCUUGGGAAAAGUGGCUUUAUGGGCCAAAUCAUGAACCCUGCCAGGCCAAAGAGGCCACAGGCAGAGGUUCUCCACCAAUGCCUUAAAAUCAAGGAUGGGGAAUCUGUGGGCCUCCAAGUAUUGCUGGACUCCAAUUCCCAUCAGCCCCAGCCAGCAUGCCCACUGAUGAGCAAUGAUGGGGGUUGUAGUCCAACAAUAGCUGGAGAACUAGAGGUUCCUCAUUGCUGCCUUAGCUGGAUACUGCCCUGUCCCCUUUUAAAAUGUUUCCCCUCUCUCUAACUUUACAACAACCGCUUUAACACACAGUAAAUUCUUGAUCCUUCUCUCUCCCUCCCUCACUCCCGUCCUUCUAUACAUUUUUUGGUUGGCUCGGAUCACACUGACCUAAUUCUAUCCAUCAACUCCUUGCCUCCUCCCGAGUUUUGCAAACUCUGUACCUUGCGAUCCUAUCUUUUCAGCGUGACUGGCAAGAUCCACUGACAGCCACCAAGUUGGAGGGGGCCACAAGCGCUCGCUCUAAAUUUAAUUCCGCAUGCUCGCUGUGAUGCACUGCCAGUCACUGGAAUAUCUUGGAGCUGGGACCCCUUCCAGGCUUAGGAUAACAUCGCCGUUUACCCACAAUUCUGCUCAUUUCCAUACAGACUGUAAGCCAAGCCGCAUAACCAAUUGCUUGUCUGGAUAUGACAGUAAUUGUAUGCAAUUCAGCCUUCAAAGUUUCUUCUAACAAUCUCACAGAUCCCUUUCCUAUCACUUUGACAUGUCUCCACUUGGUGCAUUAUUCUCCAGCGAUGACAAUGUUAUCUCUCUAGCAGAUGUUAAUACCCACAUGGAAAGCUCCUGGAACGUCCUAUUAUUUGCUGUAAUUUUCUCCCUCUGUUUCCUGUGUGUGAGAGAGAGGGGGGGAAGAGAGAGAGAGAAUGGUUUAGAAGUAAAUUAGGAAAAGAAGAAUCCUUUUCACUACACAAGGAAACAAACAGGGCGAAAGGAGAACGAAUUGGGUACAGUGGAUUGAAUUUGGAUCAAGGGCACCUGAACUCAAAUCACUGGGGAAUGGACCAAUGGGUUGUCAGUUGGUAGCCUUUACAAGACCACAGAAGCCUUACCUACAACAUAGAGUUGUUGAGAGAUGCAAAAGUUAUUUGUUUAGUAGUUAGUUCCCAUCCUACUUUCCAGACAUCCCACGACUAGUGGAAUCUUUAAGGAAUUGCUGGGGCCCUGUUGGCAUGGCAGCGCCAUCGUUGACCCCACUCCUGCCCUGCGUCUCUGAGAAGAGGGAGAACUAAAUGGAGCAGGUCCUUUGGCAGAGGCGAUGGAGUUGCCCUGCUGAUCUUCACCUCCACAGCAGCCAGAUGGAAUAGCUGAUGCUAGAUGUCAGACGAAGGAGGGAGGAGUGCAGUGGAGCUUCCGUCUUCCUUUCAACAUAGGUUGAGGGUGUUCUGCUGAGGAGCAGAGCCUGUGCAUCAGUUGUCUCAGUGUUGUGAAAUGAACUUUCUCCAGGAACUGCAAUUUACUGCUCUUCCAGAGGGAGGUAACAACAUUUUUAUUUAUUUAUUGCAACAUUUAUUUAUUGUUACAUCCCAUCUUUCCUCCAAGGAGCUAAAGGGAGUGUACAUUUAUCUUCAGAACAACCCUGUGAGGUAGGUUAGGCUGAGAGACAAUGACUGGCCCAAGGGUACCCAAGGAGCUCUAUGGCAGAGAAGGGAUUCGAACCCUGCUCUCCUAGGUUCUAGUCCAACACUCUAGCAACAUGGGCAGCAGAAUGACGUAUGGCAAGGGGGUGUGUGUAACACACACACACACACACACUUGAUUCCCUUGUUUGUUCAUAUUGGUGUUAUGUUCUGUUUUUGUUGACCAUUGAGUUUAUAUUUACACUACACUGUACUGUUCAAAACCUUGAAUACUGGAAGCCUACCUGUGAUAGUGAGUUUCUCCGAAUUGGUGAGCUCCCCUAUGGUUUUUGGUUGAGGAAUACUCUUGAUCAGUGGACAGGAAUAGAAUAAUAAUAAUAAUAAUAAUAAUAAUAAUAAUAAUUAUUAUUUUUAUUUAUAUCCCGCCCUCCCCAGCCGAAGCCGGGCUCAGGGCGGCUAACAACAAAUAAUCCAAUAAAUAAUCCAACAAUCCAAUCAAUUGGAUUGGAUCUUCUGCAGCAUCAGAUUUAGGGCAAUGUGGGCUGUUCCUCUGCACAGGGAGCUGAGGUGAGGGGGAGCAAAAUUUAGAAGGUCCAGCACUUCUUUUCCAGCCAGAACUCGCUGGAACUGAGUUCUGGCACCUCUCAGGUGGGUGCCAUUGUAAUUAUAAGAGAACAAGUUCAUGGUGAGUUCUGGUACCUCUUUUUCUAGCAAAAUAGCACUGAGAAGAUCCAUAACUGAGAAUAUCCAUUUGGUGGUGCCAAAUGUUGGCCUUGCUCAGGGUAUUACCAUAUUACCAAAGAUUACCAAAGUCCACCCCUGAUCUUCUGAGACUUCCAUCACGUUAUACAGACAUUCAAAAGUGAUGAAAAUGGGUUAACUUUCGCUGGAGCUCCCUGCUUCCCCCUUAUGUUCACACCUCCUUCCACAUAAGAACAUAAGAAAAGCCCUGGUGGAUCAGGCCCUAUCUGUGUGGGGCAGAGGUGCUACUCUGGCUUCCCAGCAGGUAGGUCGCUGCUGCUUACUGGGACAAGUUAACAGGGAGCCAGGAGCAGUGCAAAUGUACUGUCAGAGCCAAUCUGGGAAGCAAAAAUGACCUCCUCUAACUGGGAAGUUUUGUCGCUGUUCUGCCCCACCUCAACAGGGAAGUAUUAGGGGUUUGUAUGCUCUGUCCCACCUGCUGCUUAUGCCUUCAAGGGGAGUGUAACCCCACCCAGAAGAAGGAAGCCUUCUAUAUUGAGUCUCGUCUUAUUGGCUGUCAUCCGGCCCUGGGAUGAGGCCAUAAAGCAUAACUUCCAGGGAGGCUCCUGCCAGACUUCUUCUCAGACAUUAACUGCUGUUGGCCGCGGCUGCUUGUUUCAGAACAAAAGCAGAGGAGAGACACUGGCACGACUGUUGCUGUCCUUGUAAUUCAGUUUAUGGGAUCAAUGGAGCUGUCUGGAGCCACCUUGGAUGGAGUGUCAUAAUUGAAAUCAAUGAGUUUAUGCCGAGUGAAAAAUCACCUUACGAACAAGCUGGGCUCACAAUCGCACUCAGUCCGAGAAAGAGCAGCUUCUUUAUUAGAUCUUUAUGAAACAAAAGCCCGCCUUCGUAUGGCAUUCCCACACUCUAUAAUAACAUAAAAGGGCUGAUAAAUACCCAAAGUGUACCUUUCAGGUUUUCUGCAAUUUAGCAGAAUUUUCAUGCCCGUAAUCUACUUUCCUUGCUCAGCAUCUACUUGGAACUUUUUGGAUUUUUUUUUUUUACAGCCCCAGAUCUCCUGUUCAUAACAGACAAUUUAUGAUCCCGCAGCCUGAAUCGUAAGUGCUGGUAAACAGGUUCUUGGGGAAGAUUUAAGUUAGGAGGACAGCGCCUAUAAAGAGGAACAAGAAUUCAUUACAUUUCGCAGAUGGAGCCGAUAAAAGGAAGAAAAAAAAUCCAUAUCUUUGGGCAGCUGUGAAAGGGGGAAAAAAAGAAAGAAAACCUGAAACCUUCACAAUGCACUGUGGUUCUGUUGCAAAGCUUUAUUCAAAUGGUCUGUGAAAGUUUUAAAUCAAUGGUUUAUUGGAGCAGAGGGGAAAGGAGAACUAAGCAGCGCUUUUUAAUGGCACAGCCCUUGCCCACCAUGAUUUGAACGAUGCUGAAAUUGUAUAUAUGGCAUCACUGGAAUUAAAAAGAUGAGGCUUGCAAAGCACUGUGUUCAGACAGCUAAUGCUUGCUUGCAGCUCACUUUGAUGGCUCCUCCCUUCUGAUGCUCAUGGGUUUAAUCUGUGUAUAGGCAAAAGAGCACCCAUGUAUGCAAUCUAUUAUAAUUAUUUUAAUUUAUUACCCACUGUUCCCUUCAAGGUCCCAUGUCUGGUAGGAGCAAAUUAUAACACAACAUCUGGCGAAAAAACAGGAAAGACUGCUAGGCAGGCUGCAAUUUAAUGACCCCUGGGAGCGGGGCCCAAGUGUCCCCAUUGGCUGGGAAUGCCUGUCCAAGGGAUGCCGACAUUGGCCAGUAUCUGACAGCUGGGCGAUCUGGCCUGCCAUUGGUCGGAUCACUUGUGGGCCCGGGCCCUGGCUGCAACACUGUCCACCAAUGAGGGUGAGCGAACUUAUAACACAACAUCUGGAUGAAAUCACUGGAUGAGGUUACUAUUAGAUGGCUUUGUAGCUAGUUCCUCAUCAUCCUGGAAAAAAGGGACAAUCAGAUGGCCACCUCUUGUGGAUGCGUCUUCUUUUGUUUAGUUUUAGUUUUUUGUUUAUACUUUUCAAAUUUAUACAUUCCAUUAGUUUUAUAAUCAAUUUUACAUUUCAAAAUUUGACUUCGCUUUCUGCGGUUCCUUAAAUUUACUUUUAAAUAUCUUCUGCAUAUCCAAAUUCAUUUAACUUGCUCCUUUAAUUAUCUACUGUAAAUAUAUACACUUAUAAAACUGCAGGUUAUUACAAUAAUCC